This 424-nucleotide ribosomal RNA is filed under the name uncultured prokaryote. RNAcentral's name for it is "bacterial SSU rRNA". It matches the Rfam family "Bacterial small subunit ribosomal RNA", at positions 355 to 796 of the family's 1533-position model. The record is from RNAcentral.
UGGGGAAUAUUGGACAAUGGGCGCAAGCCUGAUCCAGCCAUGCCGCGUGAGUGAUGAAGGCCCUAGGGUUGUAAAACUCUUUCACCGGUGAAGAUAAUGACGGUAACCGGAGAAGAAGCCCCGGCUAACUUCGUGCCAGCAGCCGCGGUAAUACGAAGGGGGCUAGCGUUGUUCGGAAUCACUGGGCGUAAAGCGCACGUAGGCGGACUUUUAAGUCAGGGGUGAAAUCCCGGGGCUCAACCCCGGAACUGCCUUUGAUACUGGAAGUCUUGAGUUCGGGAGAGGUGAGUGGAAUUCCGAGUGUAGAGGUGAAAUUCGUAGAUAUUCGGAAGAACACCAGUGGCGAAGGCGACUCACUGGCCCGAUACUGACGCUGAGGUGCGAAAGCGUGGGGAGCAAACAGGAUUAGAUACCCCCGUAGUCC